Molecule: ribosomal RNA, 312 nt
Filed under: Triticum aestivum (bread wheat)
Lineage: Eukaryota; Viridiplantae; Streptophyta; Magnoliopsida; Poales; Poaceae
Description: partial small subunit ribosomal RNA
Source: RNAcentral
AUGGAGACUUAUUGCUGUCGGCAGAGCCGCGAGCAGCCGGAGGGAUCCCAGGGACCACGGGCGGCAGCGGCAGCGGCAGUUUGGGUAGUGGUACCAGAGGCGGCAGCGUCGGCAACCUGGGCACCACAUCCUUCACCUCGUCGACGCCGCCACCGGCGCCGCCAUUCCCUUUCAGCUCCCUCCCGUCGCAGGACGCGAGCACCAUCACCACCAGCAGCAGCAGGAGCGCGACAUCCAGACGCUUCGCCAUUGCUACGCUUUGCUAAUCAAGAACCGGAGAUAUUAUUGGCCCUUUGGUAUGCGCUAUGGUAG